GAUCAUGGCUCAGGAUGAACGCUAGCGACAGGCUUAACACAUGCAAGUCGAGGGGCAGCAUAAAAGUAGCAAUACUUGGUGGCGACCGGCGCACGGGUGAGUAACGCGUAUGCAACCUACCUAUCAGGAGGGGAAUAACCCGGCGAAAGUCGGACUAAUACCGCAUAAAACAGGGGCACCGCAUGGUGAUAUUUGUUAAAGAAAUUCGCUGAUAGAUGGGCAUGCGUUCCAUUAGGUAGUUGGUGAGGUAACGGCUCACCAAGCCGACGAUGGAUAGGGAACUGAGAGGUUGGUCCCCCACACUGGUACUGAGACACGGACCAGACUCCUACGGGAGGCAGCAGUGAGGAAUAUUGGUCAAUGGGCGGGGAGCCUGAACCAGCCAAGUCGCGUAGGAAGGAAGAAGGAUCUAUGGUUCGUAAACUUCUUUGCGAGGGGAAUAAAGUGCAGGACGUGUCCUGUUUUGUUAUGUACCCUGAGAAUAAGGAUCGGCUAACUCCGUGCCAGCAGCCGC
This 514-nucleotide ribosomal RNA is filed under the name uncultured bacterium. Its description in RNAcentral is "bacterial SSU rRNA". It matches the Rfam family "Bacterial small subunit ribosomal RNA", at positions 15 to 518 of the family's 1533-position model. The record is from RNAcentral.